RNAcentral lists this long non-coding RNA (216 nucleotides) under Octopus sinensis (East Asian common octopus). RNAcentral's name for it is "uncharacterized LOC118766956, transcript variant X2". Lineage: Eukaryota; Metazoa; Mollusca; Cephalopoda; Octopoda; Octopodidae. The record is from RNAcentral.
AAUAGUAACAUUAUAAGAUGCCACAGUUAACAACCAGGCCACAAAAAAAGAAUGUGAGCAGUUGAAAGUCUGAACACAUAAGGGGAGUUAUCCCAUGACUUUGUUAAAGAAAAUAGCUCAGCUCACAACAGGCAGCAUAAUACUAACAAUGAAACAAAAAUGCUCUAGCAUGGCCAUAUCCAGAUGGUAUGAAGCUAAUUAAAGCACUAAUUAUCA